This 2239-nucleotide long non-coding RNA is filed under the name Malus domestica (apple). RNAcentral describes it as "long non-coding RNA (MDOM_LNC019817)". The record is from RNAcentral. Lineage: Eukaryota; Viridiplantae; Streptophyta; Magnoliopsida; Rosales; Rosaceae.
ACAAUGAAUCUUUAGAUUUGGUUCCAUUUGUCUACUUAUGAGUUCUAUAUGAAUUGACAAAAGUCUAGAGAUUCCUUUCUUGAAGAAAAGGAAGAUCACAUUAUAAUGAUAUAAAUAAUAAGAAAAUUGUUUCUUAUAUAGUUAUCACAUGAAACACAAUGAUCAAGAUCACUUUUGAUUCAAUUAGUAGUUUUGAACAAUUAAUUGGGCAUUCUUAAAAUUGUUUUAAAAUGUCAAUUGUGUUAGUGACUAAACCAAGAAAGAAGUGUCUAAAUCUAUAAAAGGUUUAAAGACUUUAGUCACUUAAAUAACAAGACAUUAAACUUAGUGAAGAUUGAAACAAAUAAGCUUGAAAUGUUUCAAAGCUACUACACAAUGUCUUCUACCAAUAUAAUCCACUUUUAUACAUUUUGAAUGUAUGAAAUAAUUUCUCAUUAAAGUCAUGAGAAAUAGUGGGAGGUAUGAAAAUGGAUAUAAACUUGAAUGUGAUUGGUUUAUAGUUGUCUAAAGAAUAAUAGUACUUGACUAUUAUUAAGAGUUUGUAAUUUUAAGUGUUAAAAGGACUCAAGCUCUUUAAAAUGUUAAAAUUCUAUGUUGUGUAACAUUUAAAGAAUAGUCUUUGAAUGUUGGUUUCGUCAACCUAGCAUAAAAUGGUUAUAUGUUGGGAGUUGUCCAUCAUUCUCUUUUAUGAGAACAUGCUAAUAACAAAGCUUAUGGACAAGUUGAUGAAACAAAAGGGAAUAAGUUUCAAAAAUGAGUCACAACAUAUGGUUUAACAACAAGACAAUCCAAAUUCAACAUUUCUUGUAACGAUAUUGCUCUAUGUAGUUUUGAUAGAGAAUUAUAUCAACCACCUAGAAGGAAUGGUUGAGAAUCUAUAUCCUUAGUAGGAGCCAAGCUUCCACUAAAGACUUAGAUAAUUCUUAUAUGACUACAUUAAAGGUCUUAGUAUGACUAAACUUGUAGUAUGGUGUAUGACAUCGUAUAAUUAAAUGAAUAGACUUGAUAAAACAAGUCACAUAUUCAAAAGGAAUUACUUUAGAAGGAAUUCUUUUGUAUGUGAUUCGUUUAAAUAACUUGUGUUAGCUAGGGUUGUUGAUGGUCUCAAAAUUGUUGAGAACAUCAUCAAUAAGCUAAUGGAUCUCAAUGGAUCCAAGACAAGUUAGUGGGAGCAACACGCAUUCAAAUCAAGAAAAUAUAAGUGUUAUUUUUGAAUGAAUGCUAAGUUACAACAAGGCCAGUGGGAUUGAUGUCAUAAUUUGAGCAACAAGAUGUGAAUAAAGUCUAUUUGAUAGACUUGAUGAAACAUAGAUGUUACUCGAAAAAUGACAAAACAUGACACGGUCAAUUUUGAAGUAAAAACUUGAAAUUAGACUUACUGAUAUAGCAAGGCUAUCUCAAUAAUGUUAUAUGGGAAUUAAAUCUCAAAUGUUGAAGAUUUAAGAAAGCAUUUUCCUAUGUGAUAAGAAAUCACUUUCAUAACCCUUAUAAUGAAUGUGUCAUAAAAUCACAAAAGGGACACAUGUGUUGACUUGUGAAGUAGAUAUCCAAAGGUGAAGGAACCACUGAGUUUAUCACUUUAAGAUAUUACUAUAUCCCAGGAUCAGAACCGAAGCAACUGAUAGAGUAUUAUUGCCUUUUAAGAAAGAAACAUCAGAGUGGGACUAUGGAAGCGUGCAUUCACUUAGGUUGUUAACCAAAGUGAAAAAUAAGCCAUUUUAACAAAUGGAACUUCAUAUUGGAUGAAGUACUAAUCAUAUGAAUGAAUUGUUAGUAUUGUACUACAAUGGUCUCAAGCUUGGAGCAAAGUUUGUAUAAAGUAUACAAACGAAAUAUAUGUAGAUAUAUAGUUUUAGAAACUGCUUCAAAAGGUGUUUUGAAUGAAAGGGGUUCUUUUAGAACCCAUGAUUGCAUCCAAACCAUAAGGUCGUUAGUAGAGUACUACGACGUAAUGGGGAGAUAGCUCAAGCCAUGGAAUCAAGGUCUCAUCAAAGUAUUCGAACACAUUAAAGAGACAUAAUCAAAUGUUUUGGAAACAUUAGAUAAGUAAAUCCCUUUUGAAUAAUAAAAGGGAUUAAUACAUAACCAAGUUAACCUACGAGCAUAAACUCUCUCAACAAGAUGUAUAAGAUACACUAGUGAUUGACUUUAGUGCAAGUGGGAGAUUGUUGGAAAUAUGCCCUGAAAGUCAAUCUUUGGAAGAAAUCUUUCAGGACAAAUGAAUUGAUGUAUGGAUGAA